CAUGCAAGUCGAACGAGUUCUCGUUGAUGAUCGGUGCUUGCACCGAGAUUCAACAUGGAACGAGUGGCGGACGGGUGAGUAACACGUGGGUAACCUGCCCUUAAGUGGGGGAUAACAUUUGGAAACAGAUGCUAAUACCGCAUAGAUCCAAGAACCGCAUGGUUCUUGGCUGAAAGAUGGCGUAAGCUAUCGCUUUUGGAUGGACCCGCGGCGUAUUAGCUAGUUGGUGAGGUAAUGGCUCACCAAGGCGAUGAUACGUAGCCGAACUGAGAGGUUGAUCGGCCACAUUGGGACUGAGACACGGCCCAAACUCCUACGGGAGGCAGCAGUAGGGAAUCUUCCACAAUGGACGCAAGUCUGAUGGAGCAACGCCGCGUGAGUGAAGAAGGCUUUCGGGUCGUAAAACUCUGUUGUUGGAGAAGAAUGGUCGGCAGAGUAACUGUUGUCGGCGUGACGGUAUCCAACCAGAAAGCCACGGCUAACUACGUGCCAGCAGCCGCGGUAAUACGUAGGUGGCAAGCGUUAUCCGGAUUUAUUGGGCGUAAAGCGAGCGCAGGCGGUUUUUUAAGUCUGAUGUGAAAGCCCUCGGCUUAACCGAGGAAGCGCAUCGGAAACUGGGAAACUUGAGUGCAGAAGAGGACAGUGGAAC
Molecule: ribosomal RNA, 649 nt
Filed under: Lacticaseibacillus paracasei
Lineage: Bacteria; Bacillati; Bacillota; Bacilli; Lactobacillales; Lactobacillaceae
Description: bacterial SSU rRNA
Rfam family: Bacterial small subunit ribosomal RNA
Source: RNAcentral